This is a long non-coding RNA of Sebastes umbrosus (honeycomb rockfish), 284 nucleotides long. RefSeq lists it as uncharacterized. The transcript has 3 exons. NCBI's taxonomy places the organism in Eukaryota, Metazoa, Chordata, Actinopteri, Perciformes, Sebastidae. The record is from RefSeq and is a predicted model, not a curated record.
CUGCUUUCUGCUGGACUGGAGAGUCCAAACUGUAGACUGGAGACUCUGAGAUUGGGGAGGUGCAUGUUGUCAGAGAUCAGCUGUGCUUCUCUGCCUCAGCUCUGAAGUCCAACCCCUCCCAUCUGAGAGAGGCGUGGAUCUGGGUAACAACAACGCUGAAGGAUUCCGGAGUGAAGCUCCUGUGUGGUUUUCUGGAGAGUCCACACUGUAGACUGGAGACUCUGAGAUUGAGUGACUGCAGUUUGACAAAGAUCAGCUGUGCUUCUCUGGCCUCAGCUCUGAAG